GCAAUUCGAACGAACCUUCGGGUGAUGGCGCACGGGUGCGUAACGCGCGGGAACGACCCCUAGGUAGGAAAACGUAAGAAUCCCGCGCUCAUACCUCAUAAUAACUUCGGUUCAAAGAUUUAUCGCCUAGGGAUCAGCCCGCGUCAGAUUAGAUAGUUGGUGAGGUAACGGCUCACCAAGUCGACGAUCUGUAGGGGGUCUGAGAGGAUGAUCCCCCACACUGGUACUGAGACACGGACCAGACUCCUACGGGAGGCAGCAGUGAGGAAUAUUGGACAAUGGAGGCAACUCUGAUCCAGCCACGCCGCGUGAGUGAAGACGGCCUUAGGGUUGUAAAGCUCUUUCAAUUGCGAAGAUAAUGACGGUAACAAUAGAAGUAAGCUCCGGCUAAAUUCGUGCCAGCAGCCGCGGUAAUACGAAUGGAGCAAGCGUUGUUCGGAAUCACUGGGCUUAAAGCGUAUGUAGGCGGAAUGGAAAGUCAGGAGUGAAAUCCCAGAGCUCAACUCUGGAACUGCUCUUGAAACUUCCAUUCUAGAAUCCUGGAGAGGUUAGGAGAAUUCCGAGUGUAGAGGUGAAAUUCGCAGAUAUUCGGAGGAAUACCAGUGGCGUAGGCGCCUAACUGGACAGGUAUUGACGCUCAGAUACGAAAGCGUGGGGAGCAAACAGGAUUAGAUACCCUGGUAGUCCACGCCGUAAACGA
Molecule: ribosomal RNA, 700 nt
Filed under: uncultured bacterium
Lineage: Bacteria
Description: bacterial SSU rRNA
Rfam family: Bacterial small subunit ribosomal RNA
Source: RNAcentral